UCCUACGGGAGGCAGCAGUGGGGAAUUUUGGACAAUGGGCGCAAGCCUGAUCCAGCAAUGCCGCGUGUGUGAAGAAGGCCUUCGGGUUGUAAAGCACUUUUGUCCGGAAAGAAAUCCCUGAUCCUAAUAUGGUCGGGGGAUGACGGUACCGGAAGAAUAAGCACCGGCUAACUACGUGCCAGCAGCCGCGGUAAUACGUAGGGUGCGAGCGUUAAUCGGAAUUACUGGGCGUAAAGCGUGCGCAGGCGGUGAUGUAAGACCGAUGUGAAAUCCCCGGGCUUAACCUGGGAACUGCAUUGGUGACUGCAUCGCUGGAGUAUGGCAGAGGGGGGUAGAAUUCCACGUGUAGCARUGAAAUGCGUAGAGAUGUGGAGGAAUACCGAUGGCKAAGGCAGCCCCCUGGGCCAAUACUGACGCUCAUGCACGAAAGCGUGGGGAGCAAACAGGAUUA
Molecule: ribosomal RNA, 451 nt
Filed under: uncultured bacterium
Lineage: Bacteria
Description: bacterial SSU rRNA
Rfam family: Bacterial small subunit ribosomal RNA
Source: RNAcentral